Molecule: ribosomal RNA, 200 nt
Filed under: uncultured eukaryote
Lineage: Eukaryota
Description: partial 18S ribosomal RNA
Rfam family: Eukaryotic small subunit ribosomal RNA
Source: RNAcentral
GCUCCAAUAGCGUAUAUUAAUGUUGUUGCAGUUAAAAAGCUCGUAGUUGAAUUUCUGGUUCAACUCUCGGUCCGAGACCUCGUGUCUUGCGUACUGUUGUUAGUUGAAUCCAUCUUAGUAGUGAGUGUUGCUGGCAUUAAGUUGUUGGUUGCAGGAGCUGCUUCGUUUACUGUGAAUAAAAUAGAGUGUUUAAAGCAGGC